CGAGGCCGAUAGGCGUAGGCGAUGGACAACAGGUAGAGAUUCCUGUACCAGUGCUAAUUGUUUAACCGAUGGGGUGACACAGAAGGAUAGGGAAUCGCACGAAUGGAAAUGUGCGUCCAAGCAGUGAGUGUGAGAAGUAGGCAAAUCCGCUUCUCGCGAAGCAUGAGCUGUGAUGGGGAAGGAAAUUAAGUACGGAAGUUCCUGAUUUCACGCUGUCAAGAAAAGCCUCUAGGAAGAGUAGUACUGCCCGUACCGCAAACCGACACAGGUAGAUGAGGAGAGAAUCCUAAGGUGAGCGAGAGAACUCUCGUUAAGGAACUCGGCAAAAUGACCCCGUAACUUCGGGAGAAGGGGUGCUCUAUUAGGGUGCAAGCCCGAGAGAGCCGCAGUGAAUAGGCCCAGGCGACUGUUUAGCAAAAACACAGGUCUCUGCAAAACCGUAAGGUGACGUAUAGGGGCUGACGCCUGCCCGGUGCUGGAAGGUUAAGAGGAGUGCUUAGCUUCGGCGAAGGUACGAAUUGAAGCCCCAGUAAACGGCGGCCGUAACUAUAACGGUCCUAAGGUAGCGAAAUUCCUUGUCGGGUAAGUUCCGACCCGCACGAAAGGCGCAACGAUCUGGGCACUGUCUCAACGAGAGACUCGGUGAAAUUAUAGUACCUGUGAAGAUGCAGGUUACCCGCGACAGGACGGAAAGACCCCGUGGAGCUUUACUGCAACCUGAUAUGGAAUGUUUGUACCGCUUGUACAGGAUAGGUAGGAGCCGAAGAGACGUGUGCGCUAGCAUACGAGGAGGCAAUGGUGGGAUACUACCCUGGCUGUAUGACCAUUCUAACCCGCCACGCUUAGCGCGUGGGGAGACAGUGUCAGGUGGGCAGUUUGACUGGGGCGGUCGCCUCCUAAAGAGUAACGGAGGCGCCCAAAGGUUCCCUCAGAAUGGAUGGAAAUCAUUCGCAGAGUGUAAAGGCACAAGGGAGCUUGACUGCGAGACUGACAAGU
Molecule: ribosomal RNA, 996 nt
Filed under: Listeria monocytogenes
Lineage: Bacteria; Bacillati; Bacillota; Bacilli; Caryophanales; Listeriaceae
Description: partial 23S ribosomal RNA
Rfam family: Bacterial large subunit ribosomal RNA
Source: RNAcentral